RNAcentral lists this ribosomal RNA (402 nucleotides) under uncultured prokaryote. RNAcentral's name for it is "bacterial SSU rRNA". It matches the Rfam family "Bacterial small subunit ribosomal RNA", at positions 355 to 774 of the family's 1533-position model. The record is from RNAcentral.
UGAGGAAUAUUGCACAAUGGGGGAAACCCUGAUGCAGCGACGCCGCGUGGAGGAAGAAGGUCUUCGGAUUGUAAACUCCUGUUGUUGAGGAAGAUAAUGACGGUACUCAACAAGGAAGUGACUGCUAACUACGUGCCAGCAGCCGCGGUAAAACGUAGGUCACAGGCGUUGUCCGGAAUUACUGGGUGUAAAGGGAGCGCAGGCGGGAAGACAAGUUGGAAGUGAAAUCUAUGGGCUCAACCCAUAAACUGCUUUCAAAACUGUUUUUCUUGAGUAGUGCAGAGGUAGGCGGAAUUCCCGGUGUAGCGGUGGAAUGCGUAGAUAUCGGGAGGAACACCAGUGGCGAAGGCGGCCUACUGGGCACCAACUGACGCUGAGGCUCGAAAGUGUGGGUAGCAAACA